AUGUGUGCCCUUCUUCUCCUUGUCUCUCUCAUUUUGGGCUGCUUUGUCUCUGCUGGUUAAUUUUCCAGCAAAAAGGUGGAAUGGAGGCAGAGCAGAAUCUCCCAGGUGGCUUUUGCAGGGCCUCAACCAAUGUUGGACAGAUUUCCAUGGGAUAAUGUUGGCUCCUUGCUCCCCCAGCCUGACUAUUCCCAGUUUGUCACAUCCUGAGGCUCCACGCCUUGCCCUGAGCACACAAAUUCCAGUAAAUCAGUGAAGGUGACUUUCCCUGACUCUCCAGGAUUUGUUGGGCAGGUACAUCCAGCAGGAACAGCAGCAGGAGUUUGUCUGGCACAGCCUUUGCCCAUCAACUUUCUUUUUUGCAGAGGACUCGGUGGUUUCCUGGCUGCUUCCAGCUUUGUCCUUGUAGGAAGGGCCAAAACACAUCAAAAAUUGGAGUUUUUCUUCCUUUCCCAGCUCCGUGCUGGUUCAGUGAUCUCAGGGAAGGGACAAAAGAAGAGGGGACAGAGGUGUCCUUGGCAAUAAGGACAUUUUGGUCUUUCUCAGGGAAACUUUGGAGAAUGGAGGAGAGUUCUGAUUUUUGGACAGCUGAUGAGGACCUGUGUGCUGUUCCCAGGGAGGGAAGCAGUGCUGGCCCCACAGGAUCCCUCUGUGGGGUUUUUCUGGCUGCCCUAAGCGCUCUGACCCCAGAGGAUUCUCAGUUACACAUCAUUUAAUCACCCCAGCUCCUGCCAGCUGCUGUCUGCUCAGAUGAGUUCCCAGCUGCUCUAAUGCCCUAGGAAGGCUGACCAGGAGGUCAGACAGAGCUAAAGAAUAAAGCAGGAUUUAUUGAGAGGCCUCAGUAGAUCCACCUUGGGCAGCACAAGAGCCCAGCCAGGGCUACACCCAAGAUGAAUCAAAACUGUCACAAAAAUGGUCAGCUUGUCACAGGGUGUCUCAUUUUUAUAAGUUCUUGUGCUCCAUUUGCAUAUUGGAGUUAAUUAUCCAAUUCCAGCUCCAGCCCAUGCAGUCCCAUCCUGCUUGUUUUCUCUCUUUGGUCCGUGCUGUUUGUGCUCUUGGGGCUGAGAUUUGGAUCACUGGUCCUUGGUCCCAGCCAGAGCAGGAAUUGUUUUGUCUCCCUGCUCUGUGCAGAGCGCUCACCAACUCCUGAUAUGAAUCCCAGACCCACACACUAAAGCAGCACAGGAUGUGAGAAUACAAAAGCCAAACCUGAGGCAUCAGUUUUGUUCUCUCCCCCACCCCAUUCCUCAUUCCCUUUUCCUCCCUGACCUGAUCCCUGUCCCAAAGGGGCCCUGUGGGACCGGGCUGGCCCCAGAGCAGGUGACAGGCAGCACGAGGAAGGGCAGAUGGGACUCGGGAAGAAAGGGAAGCUGUUCCCUGCCCAGCCCAGUGGAAAAAUGAGCCAAAGAAUCUCAGGGGACAUGUGGGAAUCCAGGGCUUCCCUCUGGCUGCCCUGGCAGGUCUGGGACCCUUCAGGGGUCAGGAACCCCCCUGGACAGAGCCCCCAGAGACACUGUCUGUGAUCUCUGUCCGUGGAAAAGAGUUUUCAAUCUUACAGGAUGAAUUACAAGCUCUGAGUGUUUGAUAUAAGUAAUAAUUAAGUGUGGCAUGGGUGCAAAAGUAAAAUUUUAGGAUUCUAGAUAAGGGGUUCAAAGGGGACAAGAUGGAGGAAAUUGGGUGUGCCUUGUCCUUUUUCUCCUUCUUCAUGCCCUCCAUGUUUCACUGUGGUGUUGGCAUUUUUCUGUUGGUUCAGGCUGGGGACACACUGUCCAACGUAGGUGACAGAUAUUGGCACGUUAUUGUAAAUCCAGCACAGGUAGUUUGUGGUAUUUAAUGUUUGUACCAUCCCACUGAGGGCAGAGCCCCACACGCUGCCCUGCAGGACAGAGCUGCGGCAGGGCAGCAGAACAUGUUAGAGAUAAACAGAAUAAACAACCUU
RNAcentral lists this long non-coding RNA (1936 nucleotides) under Taeniopygia guttata (zebra finch). Its description in RNAcentral is "lncRNA (ENSTGUG00000029471.1)". Lineage: Eukaryota; Metazoa; Chordata; Aves; Passeriformes; Estrildidae. The record is from RNAcentral.